Molecule: long non-coding RNA, 3516 nt
Filed under: Canis lupus familiaris (dog)
Lineage: Eukaryota; Metazoa; Chordata; Mammalia; Carnivora; Canidae
Description: lncRNA (ENSCAFG00845022089.1)
Source: RNAcentral
UUUUUUUUCUGAUCUAGAUGAUGACUUAAAUUUGUGAGUCUACCACAUUAAGAAGAUAAAAUAUUGCAUUGAAAUAGUAGGCAAGUAGAGACAAAUUAUUUUCGGGGAAGUUAAAAAACUGAAAUUAGAAUCUGUUCGACCUCAGGGAAUGGAAAGAAAAAAUGUGAUCGUGCUUAAAAUACUAUUUUCAAACCUUUCAUUACUCCAGCCCUAGCAAUUGAGGAAAGUUUGUUUUCCCUAAAAUGCUGUAUAGUAAGUAUCUCCUUUCAGGAGGGAAAACUGUGGGAGAGGGAUUGGAAGGAAGCUGUGACUAACUAGCUUUUUAUUAGGGACCGAAUACUGAUUAAAUUACAGGCAUUAUUUUAACUCAACUUGUCUUCCCAAUACUACUGGGAGUUAGAAUUAGAAUUGCUGUAUUUUGCAAUGAGCACUGAGGAGAACAAAGACCGGCUACUGACAUACAACUAAAAAGGUUUUUCUCAGAGAAGGACUAGACUUGGCAGUUUGGCCUUUAUGCAGCAAUUUCCAAGGACACGUUGGAGUUACAAAAAGAGGUACAUGCUUUCUGAAAUCAGAGGCACUCACCUGGACAGAAGUCCACAUCAGUUCAAACUGACUUUCAUGUUUUUGUGUGAGAAAAGGAAAACCUCUCAUUUAAAGUUAUGUGUUGUAUAUUCUCAAAAUGUCUAGUUCCUUGUCGGGCUGAUUUUCUGGGAUGUCAUUGACAUAUGGGGUAAUGGGAAACAAAUUUCUGUAUAGUUAUCAAUAAAUAACUAUUUGUACUAUUAACUAGGCUUAGGACCUGGAAUUAUACCAGAAGAAGUUCUUUUGGGUCAUAUUUCAGUUUAGAGAGCCAGCCACACAUUGGCAGUUAAGGACUGAACCCCUAUGUCUGUCAACUCAGCACAACCCCAUUUUCAGGAAUCUCCCUAUAUCACGACCACUUUGGAAAUCAAAUCAUCAUAUCCACUUCUGAGCACAUACCCUAAAAACUCUCCACAUGUGUGCAAGAAAUGUACAAAAACAUUUACUGUAGCAUUGUUAGCCAGCCAUUGAGUAUUGCUUUUCUAGAAUAAAGGAAGUUGCAUUUUUUUUUUCUCAUUCUGUUCAUGAUCACUUCUCAUUUAUUACUCUUAGGGAAGUCUCUAAUGGAGGCCUGUAGGGCAGCUGGCCCAUUUCGGGGGAAGCAUGACAUCACAGAUGCUUGUCUCUUCCUUGGCCCCAUCUGCUAGAAAUAGUAACUAAGUCCUUUACCUAUGCUGGUAGGAGAGGAGCUGUAGAAAAUCAAAUUAGCAGGAGAGAAACUAUUAGUCUUCAUUUUCUUGUUUCCAACCUGCAAAUACAGAUUGUUAAAUACACUUGUUCCCCAAUCCUCAUUAGGAAAUCUUGAAGAAUAGCAGGACAGGAAAAAAGCAUGGGGAUUAUGAGAAAACAACAGUACUAAAAUAUAAUGCAAAGUCAGGACUGUUCCUUCUCUUCAGACUAUCUUAUAUUUGUAGAGUUGGUUGAAUUUGAAAUUUUUCAUUAAAUAAUUUCAUUCCUAGUUGUAUGUGGAUGAAUGCCACAUUUACAAUUCCAAAUGUAUCUUUUUAUUUAGAAUUUUCUUUUUGGGGAUCCCUGGUUUCUACCUAUUAGUUCUGGUAUCCUUCAGUAACUUGAUCUCUCUUUUGUCAUACAUUCUUCUUUUGUGGUUUCUAAGGAUAUUGGCCUAUUUGCUGUGCCUUGAAUUUGCUGGCUCAGUACCGCCUAUGGUCUUUGCUUUUGCCUAGAGAAAUCCUUCCCCAGAUGUCCACAGAGUUUUUUCCUUCUUACGAAGGAGGCUUUCUGUAAACACCCUUUUAUUUUUAUUAUUUUUAAAAUAGAUUUUAUUUACUUAUUCAUGAGAGACAUAGAGAGAGAGAGGCAGAGACACAGGCAGAAGGAGAAGCAGGCUCCACGCAGGGAUCCCGGGUCUCCAGGAUCACGCGCUGGGCUGAAGGUGGCCACCCUGGCUUCCUCUAAACACCCUUUUAAAACUGCACUGCCUCAUCUCAUUUCUAUUUCCAUUCUCCAUGUCAUGGAACAUAUUGUAUCUUCUACUUGAUGGUUUUUCUGUCUAUAUGCACUAGAUUAUAAGUUAUAUGCAGCCAGGGGUUUUUGUCUGCUGCUCAUACUUUGUUUUCAGGACUGAGAAUAGUGACUGGCAUGUAGGUAUCUGACAAAAAUACUCAUUAAAUGAAUUACAGCAGAAUCUGUUGCAAACUACAACCCUUCAUAGGAAUAACUUGUAUUUAAUAUAAUUCUCAUUCAGAAGGAUUCUUACUGUCAUGACAUUUUAUUUGAUAUUUUUAUUUUAGAGUCUGAGGAAGAAACUUCAGAAUUAACCAAUACCCACUUAGUAAUAAACUUCUAGAUCACAAUAGUUUUAAACUGAAAUAUCAUCAGGAUUUGAGCAGUUAAAUAAAUAUGUGAAACACCCUAUGUAAAAUGUAGGUAAUGAUGAGGUCUGUGAUACAUAGGGGAGUUUAUAUACUGCCCUAUUAUAAGGCAUUUGGAUUUGAAAAAGAAAUUUAAAACAUAGCACUGUCUGAAGAAAACGUGUCUACCUGUGGUUUCAAAGGCCCAUUUCAGCACUCAGCAUGUGGCUGACAGGACCAUGAAGACAUUUUGCAAAUCACAUUGUUUUUUCUACUUCUUUUUAACUAUGUACUCAGGUCUGGAUAUGUGUCUGACUCCACGUCAGGACAGGAAUACUCAACUGAUCAAAUCUAAUUACAUUUGCUUCCCAGCUAAAUUGUAUAUCACCUUCCUCUCUUGUGAGAGAUAUGGCCCCUCUUGGGUCCUCAGCAUCUGAUUAUUGCAAACCUAAUUGAUUUGCGACAUUUCAUUAAUAAAGUUAACUAAAACUAAUUAUACAUAUUGAAUAAAAGUUUCCUGUGAAAUGAAUUAUUCUAUUUAGCUUAAGGGUUCUUAAUUGUUAGAAUGAAUUGCUGAGGAGGAUUUCAGAAUUACUUUCUCUUGGGAUAUAUAUAUAUAUAUAUAUAUAUAUAUAUACACUCAACCAAUAUGGGUUGAUGGAUAGUGACACCAUAGAAACUAAAUGCAGAAAAAAUUGAUUAAAUAUGAAAAUUAAAGAUGUCAAGCAUCUUCCUAAGAAGAUAAAAAUCAUAAAAUAGGUUACAUAGAUCUCUUCAUUUUAAGAUAUUAAAUUAGGUCUGUUAAAUCUGUCAUAUUAAGGUAGCUAAAAUAGAAAUUUUAAUAUAUUGACAUUUAUUGUUUUAUUCAUAGUAUGAAUUUUCCUUUAUUUAAUUGGAACAUAUUCUAUUUCUUACUCUUUAAUUCAGAUGGUAUGUUCUACGUCAUCCAUCUAAUUAAAUCUAAAUUCUAGCAGAAAUCCAGGGGGAGCCUACUACUACUUCAAUUGUCCCACCAAGCUGAUGUGUUCUGGGCAAGAGUUCUCACAAAUCAGGCCGUUUCCAAAGCUCCUUAUUUGUUCCGUUGUGUAUAAAUAAACAUGUUCUAUAUAAAACAAAGACU